UGCAAUGAAGGUGAUUGUUCUUUUUGGCGUC
Molecule: non-coding RNA, 31 nt
Filed under: Mus musculus (house mouse)
Lineage: Eukaryota; Metazoa; Chordata; Mammalia; Rodentia; Muridae
Source: RNAcentral